GUAGCGGAGUUGGCAUCAGUGGACCGGACGACCUGCUGAGUGCCGACCGACCUCUAAUACGCAGUCGUACUGGAUCCUUGUGAAGUUUCCUGGACUUGUCACUUCUUGAACAUUGAGGUGUGACCCCUUGUGAGGUGGGCAUCCACCAGCUCCAGACAAAAUGAAAGUGAAUAAUUCUGAGGGGAUUGAUAACAUGGGCCAAGAAGAAUAUGAGAAUGUCUCCAACCUCGCCUCAUCUUUGGGUAGGCUGUCUCUCCACCUCAAAGACAAUGACCUACCAGAAGUGGAGCACUCCCUUGCAAAGAUCUCCUUACAUGGGCAGGAUGAGGAGGAUAGCCCCCAAGAAAGCCAGAAUGAAGAGGAACAGGAGGAUAAGGAACCCAUAGAUUUAGUACAGCACACAUCUCCUAGUCAUGAAGAAGAAAAUGACGGAAACAAGAAGAGUGAAGACAAGGUGAAGGAAGUUUGUUCAGAUAAGAUGAGUCAGGAAGAGAGCACGAUAAAGGUAGAAGAAGAUCUGAGCCAUGAUGAGGAAAAGGACAUCACUGUCCCUACCAGAGAUGCAACUCUUAGAAUAAAGACUGAAGUGUCUUCUGACUCUGAAGAAGAGAAAGAAGAAGAAAAUGAUGAAAAGAGUGAAGAGAUAAAAGAAGUGGUCAAUGCUGAUGAACCAGAAGUAAAGGAAAAAGUGAAGGAUGAAUCAAUAGAGAAAGAAGAGGAUCACUCAGAUGAUGAAAAUCCACCAGAUGAGGUGAAACAAGAAAAGAAGCCCUCCAAACUUAGGACCAGAGGGGGCGUUGAAAUCAACAACUACUAUAUGUAUAAUUCAGGUGGUCGGCAGAUGUGUGAGUCACAAUACCAACAGAGAAUACGUGAACCAGACUAUUCUCUUCCAGGCCCUUAUGGAGCAAAUAAUUUAAUCAACUAUAACUGUGGGAGUGUGAGUCCUCAGUAUGCUCAGUCUCUUGACUCCCCACCCAUGUACCCAAUUCAGGGAGGAGUGACAGACUCAGAUAUGUAUGGCGCAAAUGGAUCUGACAACUACACAUAUGGCCCCUCUUCAAGCCCCACAAGCAUGCAAGCUGGUACUUUGUGUGUGAGUCCUCAGUAUGCUCAGUCUCCUGACUCCCCAAGCAUGUACCCAAUUCAGGGAGGAGUGACAGACUCAGAUAUGUAUGGCGCAGUAAGUUAUACAAAUGGAUCUGACAACUACACAUAUGGCCCCUCUUUAAGCCCCACAAGCAUGCAAGCUGGUACUUUGUGUGUGAGUCCUCAGUAUGCUCAGUCUCUUGACUCCCUAAGCAUGUACCCAAUUCAAGGAGGAGUGACAGACUCAGAUGUGUAUGGCGCAGUAAAUUAUACAAGUGGAUCUGACAACUACACAGAUUGUUCAUCAAGCCCCAGAAGGCAGCAACUUACUUUUUUGGAUGAUAAUGGGGUCCACACAGAAUCAACUGAACUUCAACAGGUUCUGGAGGUAAUCGACAAAGUGGAACGUGAAAACUUGUCAUACCGUGCUCCUGUAAAUAAAUUGCAGAUAAUAAUUCAGAACUUGACUCAUGAGCUCUGUGAAGGUGAACCAAAAUGGUCUGACAACAGUUGGAAGAUGGAAUUUGACCGUCAGCAGCUCCUCCAGGCUAGAAAGAUGGUGGCAAGCAAGACCAAUGAAGGUGUUGUUAGAAAGGAUGAGGAUGGUGACACACCAUCCAUGAUUAUGGCAUGUAGGCCUGUGGACCAAGAUGGCUACACAGAGAACUUAAUGGCAUUAAUAGAACGACAGGAAGAUAUUCUCCUCUGCUGUGAUGAAGUUGUCAAUAGGACAACUGGACAGUGCACCAAAUGUGGCAAUAGUAAUCAGGACACAUUCUAUACUUCACUUUCCAUUAAAAACGUGCAGGGUGACUCAAUUCUGAGUAGUGUAAUUAAAAUAAAGCAUCCAGUGAGUGUGAUUAACUACGUCUUUAAGAAAAUUGAAAGUCGUCGCAGUGACUACAUUAGAAUUUUUGGCAGCCCUGACUACAAAUAUAAGAAUAUAAACCCAAUCCUGGAAAGGGUUUUUAACUAAAUAUCUACUUGGUGAUGAAGGAGAAGAAUCAGGUUGUUCAGGAGUGCUUUAUAGGCAGUACAGGAUGCGGCUCCUGGCAGUAUAUCUCCCAUUCUCUCUGGUGGUGGUCGUCGUCACGAUUUCUGUCAGCGACUCUGAUGAGAGGCACACAGAGCUAACAUCUCGAAGUGG
This 2236-nucleotide unclassified non-coding RNA is filed under the name Homarus americanus (American lobster). RNAcentral describes it as "histone acetyltransferase KAT6A-like, transcript variant X8". Lineage: Eukaryota; Metazoa; Arthropoda; Malacostraca; Decapoda; Nephropidae. The record is from RNAcentral.